AUCCAACUGAAGAGUCCCAAAUAGAGUGAAACGUGCGUCCUGGAU
RNAcentral lists this non-coding RNA (45 nucleotides) under Schistosoma mansoni. Lineage: Eukaryota; Metazoa; Platyhelminthes; Trematoda; Strigeidida; Schistosomatidae. The record is from RNAcentral.